This is a non-coding RNA of Callithrix jacchus (white-tufted-ear marmoset), 6015 nucleotides long. The record is from RefSeq and is a predicted model, not a curated record. Lineage: Eukaryota; Metazoa; Chordata; Mammalia; Primates; Cebidae.
AUACCUGUUUCACAUGGGAAGGAGAAAACAAGUCCUUUAAGAAAGCAGUAUUGUUAUGACACCAAAACCACAAGCAACAAAAGAAAAACUAAGUUGAACUUCAUAAGAAACUUUUGUGCAUCAAAAGACACUAUCAACAGAGGGACAGGCAUCCCAUGGAGUGGGGGAAGAUAUUUGCACAUCACAUGUUGAAUAGGAGACUGAUACCCAGAAUAUAUAAAGAAUGCCUACAACCCUACAGCAAGAAACCCAAACAACCCAAUCAAAAAACGGGCAUGGGGCUGACAUUUCUCCAAACAGAAGCUAGAAAAGCCCAACAUGCACAUGAAAAUGUGCUCAGCGUUACUAGCCAUUAGGGCAAAGCCGAUCAAAACCAAAAUGAGAUGUCCCUUCACACUCAUGACAAUGGUGACUAUCAAAAAAACCAGGAAGUAACAGGUGUUGGUGAGAAUGUGGAGACACUGGAACUUUAGUGCUCUGUUGGUGGGAAUUAUUAAAUGAUGCAGCCACUGUGUUAAAUGUUUUGACAUGGUUUGGCUCUGUUUCCCCACCCAAAUCUCAUGUUGAAUUCUAAUCCCUCGUGUUGGAGGUGUGGCCUGGCGGGAGGUGAUUGAUCAUGGCUGGGGACUUCCCCCUUGCUGUUGUUGUGAUAGAGUUCUCCCGAGAUCUGUUUGUUUAAAAGUAUGUAGCCCCUCCUCUCUCUUUCUCUCUCUGCUCCCAGCCAUGUGAAGAUGUGCUUGCUUCCUCUUCACCUUCUGCCAUGAUUGUAAGUUUCCUGAGGCUUCCCAGAAGCAGAGUCCUGUACAGACUACAGAAGGCUGGGAGGAGACGGAAGCAGUCUGGGGCUCUGUCGUUGGCAGAAUGAGUCACACUGGACAGGCGAGAGUCUGGAAGAAUGGCAGGCACAGCUUGCAAGCGCAUCUGGAGGGGGCUGGAGAGAAAGUUACAGAAGGCUGCACAGCUCCUGCCCAGCUCUCCAGAUGUCUCCUCUUGGCAUCUGGAAUCCCACCACCACACCAGGAAAAGCCAAAGGCUUGAGAUGCCUGUGCAAAUCAGUGAUGGAUAGCCUCUGCUGAUCCCAGCCCUGGUGCCGGACAUCCAAGUGCAGACAUGAUGUGGGGUGUGAGUUCUCUAGCCUAAGUCACAAGACCCUGACACCAAGGGGCAGUUGUCACCACCCAGCAUCUUGGCUUUCCAAGAAGAGGGAAAGAGGUUCUAGAAAUAAGGUUGCCGCUGGCAGUGGAUUCUAAACUCAUCCAGUGGGACAGGUGCCUUUGGACCUUCCUGGGCCCUUCCCAUGCUGCCUCCUGUUACUCAUCCUCUGUAGCCUCCAUGUCCACUGGAGUGGAGAACUGGUGAGGGCCGGGGUCGCCUGUCUUUUGACCUCUUGCUCCUGACUGACCCUGGUUCCCAGAAAGUCUCUGCCUCAAAUGCAGUGUGACAAGGAAGCAGCUGUGAUGUCCGACCCCGAGGGACCGUUUUUCCAUCCUCUGUGGCUUAGCUGUUAUAGGCACAUGAAAACAGGUUGGGGCCGGGCGUGGUGGCUCAUGCCUGUAAUCCCAGCUCUUUGGGAGGCCAAGGCAGGCAGAUCAUUUGAGGUCAGAAGUUCAAGACCAUCCUGGCCAACAUGGUGAAACCCUGUCUCUACUGAAAAUACAAAAAUUAGCUGGAUGUGAUGGCACAUGCCUGUAGUCCCAACUACUUGGGAGGCUGAGGUAGGAGAAUGGCUUAAAUCCAGGAGGUGGAGGUUGCAGUGAGCUGAGAUCAGGCCACUGCACUCCAGCCUGGGCAACAUAGUGAGACUCCCAUCUAAAAUAAUAAUAAUAAAAAACAAAACAGGUUGGGAUAAUUUUUAAGCUAAAGAAGAAAACCAAACAGUGAUUACCCUCCUGAGCUGCAUUCCUACCUAGUCUUAGAAGAAUGGAAGCUGCCAGCAUCUCUGGGCUAUGUCAAUGGGCUGGUCUGUGUACCAUGGCGUGGGGUAUGAAAUCUCGUGCAUGUGUCUGUGUGGCAGUUUUGUCUUUUGUGUCAUGACUGCAGUGGGGUGGACACUGUGCGUACAGAAGGGCUGAAGUGAUUGACGUGUGACCUAGAGGCCUUUCUGCAAAACAGAAAAACCACAUGUGGCUGGAUGUGCUAAGGUAAAUGGCAAUUAGGGACCUCGCUGCUUUAGGGAGCCUGGUCUCCCUUUGACCAGGCUCCUUAGAGUGGGGUCCCUGGACCAUGGCUGUUUGUGAAUCAUGUGUUCCUAGUCAGCAGAGAAGUUAGUCCAGGAAGUGAGAAUAAGCACGGAGGAACUUCGGUGCCCAUUUGACAUCUCUGCGCAUCAAUCCAUGCAUGGGAAUCUGCGUUUUACAAAUGCACUGGAUAGUGACAGACAGCGAAGCUUAAAAAACCAAACUGGUUCAACACCACACAUAGUUUGGGAGCUUUUACUUUAAAGGGAUUUCUUAACCCAGUGCCUAAGAUUGUGUUUAUACAUAUGUGCAUUUUUGUGAGAAGAUGUUCUUCCACAGGGCUCCAGUACUCCCCAAGGAUCAGAAACCUCAGUGAUAAAUUUCCGACUAGAUGAUAUGUACUAUGCCGUGCGUGUUCUUCAGCUGUGAUGUAUGGUGUGUCUAACACCUGCCUAUUAGCAGCUGGAUUCCCUUCUACAAUGUGAUAUAUAAUGUAUGGUGUGACAGAGCUGGGUAAUAAACACUUCCAUAGACAAUGUCAGCUGCGUACUAUCUGUGCGCUGGUGAUGAAUCACCACAGAACACACCACCACACAGCACAGCUGCCGGGGGAGCUGUGGCAGGGCAACUCUGCCAGGGCACCCACUGCUCUCUGAUCUUGAAAGGUAGUUUCUCCUUCCUCCCAACUUGGCCCUUCAGGAAAGAGAGAGAUGCUUCUGUUGGGCCACAGACAGUUUGAAAGGCUGGACCAUUGCUGUGGCACCAGCCUCUGGCCCUGGGCUCGGAUUUGGGGUCACUGGCAACCCUGGAAGUUGAGCUUCACCAAUUCUACGAUGUACUCCCGACUCCAGCACUCAGAUUUGAAUACUUCUGAAAUUAAAAUGUGCCCUUCCUUCCAUUGAUGAAAAGAACUCUUGUUUCACAGACUGGUUGGCAGCAUUUUCUUCCUAGUCAACCUUUGCUGUAUCUGCCUGGCCGGGAUGGACAUACCUUUAGUGCUGAGGAGUGGAGGGCCUCGGAUGACGGGUCUUCCAGAGCCAGCUCCUGCCUCCUUUCCACCCGGACAUCUGCGUAACUGUGCAGGAAAUUAAGAGACCACAGUGGAAGCGGGGUGUCCCAGCACAGGAUGACACCACCCAAACAGACUACAAGGUGCAUCAAGGUUCUCUAUGUAACACCCGCCCCCACAACAGUCAACAGAGAGAAGCCUAGUCUGUUACUCUUGGAAGGAAUGAGUGUCAUUCUCUGCCUUAAAUUCCACCCGAGUGACUUAUAAUAUUACGUUCGAAAUCAUUUUAUUUCUAGGAUGUCUUUAUUCCCCUCUCAUUUACUAUUCUUUUUACUUCCCUGAAAUCUUCAAUUGUAAUUGUCUUUAAAAAACACAUUUUUGUCUAUGGGAUAAGCUUCUGCCUUUAAAUAAUUAGAAGCCUUUCUUAAAACCUGUUCAGUCUGGACGGUGCAUAUGGAAGAGUGACAGAAAACUUUUUUAGUAGUUACAUUCCUCAGAAAGUUUCCUCUCAAAGAAACCUAGAACUGGCUAAAUCCAGACCGCAGAUGUGCCCACAGGCCCACUUGUCAAUAGUGUGGGUAAAUCGACUCAGCACAGUGAUGCCCAGGUGACCCUGUGAUGCCUCUGCCCUGGGUGUGGAGACCCUGGGGCAAGAGACCUUGGGAAGCAACAUGGCUCCUGAGCCUCCGGAAUGCCUGCCACCUGAUUCAUUUACUUGGUUCCCUCCCUGCUUUCUCUGAGCGUUUCUUCCAAGGAUUUGAGAGGUAGAGGAUGGAGAAGAGUGGGUAGAGGGCACAGCCUGAAGAGUGAAGGGUCAGUGCUGCCCAGCCUUCCCUGGGGUAAGGGGGCCCUCGGGCAGAGGACCAGGCUGGGUGGCAACAGGGGGCUGGUGACUCGUCAGAGACCAUCACUGCUGCAUGCCCAGGGGUGGGCUGGGAAUCAAAGAGCGAAUGCCUGAGUGAGGGCAUGAGGUGUGAUAAAGUGGCAUCAGGGUCACUGGCUGCUGAAAACUAGUGUUUCUCCCUUCUUCUGCAUGUUAAGGAAGAAUGCUUGACUUGGUGACCUGAUGUAUGUAUGGGGUGUGUGUGUGUGUGUGUGUGUGUGUGUGUGUGUGUGUGUAGUGUCUGUCUGCAUCUGUCUGUUACACGUAUAUAGUCAUGUGCUUAUAGGAUGUAUUGGUGCUUCCCUAAGAUUAGAACACUGUAUUUUUUAAAAUUAUGCUUUAAGUUCUGAGGUACAUGUCCAGAAUGUGCAGGAUUGUUACAUAGGUAUACACAUGCCAUGGUGGUUUGCUGCAUCCAUCCCCCGUCACCUACAUUAGGUAUUUCUCCUAAUGUUAUCCCUCCCCAAUCCCCCCACCCCCCAACAGGCCCCUGUGUGUGAUGUCCCCUCCCUAAGAACACUGUAUUUUUAUUGUACCUUUUCUGUGUUCAGAUACGUUUAGAGGCACGGAUACUUGCACCUGUGCCAUGACUGUCUGCAGUGUUCAGCACAGCAGCAGCUGUUCAGGUGUGCAGCCUAGGAACAGAGCACUCUGUGGUGCAGCCAAGGUAUAUGGUAGGCCUCACCAUCUAGGUGUGUGUGAGUACAGUCUACAAUGCUUGCAUGAUGACAAAAUCACCUAACAACACAUUUCUCAGAACAGAUAUCCAUUAGUAAGCAGCAAGGGACUGUAUAUAAGAAACGCGUAUGAAAUUUAGUUUUUUUUAAAUUCUAUGGAACCCUAUGCAGCCAUAGAAAAGACUGAGUUCAUGUCCUUUGCAGGGAUGUGGAUGAAGCUGGAAGCCAUCAUCCUCAGCAAACUAACACAGGUACAGAAAACCAAACACCACAUGUUCUCAGUCAUGGGUGACAAUUGAACAAUGAGAACACAUGGACAGAGGGAGGGGCAAGUCACACACCAGGGCCUGUCGGGGUGGGGGCAAGGGGAGGGAGAGCAUUGGGAGAAAUACUUAAUGCAUGUGGGGCUUAAAACCCAGAUGACGGGUUGAUAGGUACAGCAAACCAUCAUGGCACAGGUAAACCUAUGUAACAAACCUGCUUGUUCUGCACAUGUAUCCCAGAACUUAAAUAAAAGAAAAUAAAAAGAAAGAAAUGCUGGCCUUCCAACCUUUCUUUCUUUGCCCUUCUCCAAGGUUCUUCUGUAGGCCAGCAUAAAACUAAUUUCCAUUCUUAAAAUUUCUGUAGUAGGGGAGAGGACCAUUUUCUCCUUCAUCCUUGGGAGCAGUGACCCCACAAAUGUGGCAUCUGAAACCCUGGACAUGCGGCAUCUCUUUGAAGUCCUGCUCACCGCCCUGGGUGGACAGCUCCCUGAGGCCAACAGGGACCUACCGGGAACCUGCGCCCACUGGCAGCGAGGCUGUUUUCCCGACACGGCCUCAGUUGCCAGCAGGGGUUUUUAAAGCAUUAAAAAUAAAGGGGAAUAUGUGUUUGAGUUAUUUAGAGGCAAAAUUUAAAUUUUCUGCUCAAAGCAGCGACAAGGGAAGGAUGUGGGUUGGAUGGAGAUGGGAAAAUAUGUAAGUAGGUCAGUGAAGCAGUCACUUACUAAGUAAUAUCCUGGCAGCCUGCGAGAGUCCAUGAGGCGUUCAAAGGGGCCUGACUGAGAGCUUGAAAGAAGUCUCAGCCCUGGGAGGGCAGAGCCAGUGGGGCCUGGAAGCGAGCUGAACUCUGGGAAUUGUGCUGUUAUCAGCAGGGGAUGGCCUGGGCUUGAUCCUCAAAAUGAGGAACACCUAAGUGACUGCUGAUCUGACUCGGCCAUCAGGGGCCACCCCAUACCCCUCCAAGGUGAAACAAGGACGGAGUCACGCCGCUCCCCAUGCAUGGUACCUG